This 483-nucleotide ribosomal RNA is filed under the name uncultured bacterium. RNAcentral's name for it is "partial 16S ribosomal RNA". It matches the Rfam family "Bacterial small subunit ribosomal RNA", at positions 29 to 506 of the family's 1533-position model. The record is from RNAcentral.
AUUGAACGCUGGCGGCAGGCCUAACACAUGCAAGUCGAGCGGAUGAAGGGAGCUUGCUCCUGGAUUCAGCGGCGGACGGGUGAGUAAUGCCUAGGAAUCUGCCUGGUAGUGGGGGAUAACGUCCGGAAACGGGCGCUAAUACCGCAUACGUCCUGAGGGAGAAAGUGGGGGAUCUUCGGACCUCACGCUAUCAGAUGAGCCUAGGUCGGAUUAGCUAGUUGGUGGGGUAAAGGCCUACCAAGGCGACGAUCCGUAACUGGUCUGAGAGGAUGAUCAGUCAAAUGGGAAUUAGAACACGGUCCAGACCCCAAGGGGGGGAAGAAGUGGGGAAAUUUGGAAAAGGGGGGAAAGCCUGAUCCAGCCAUGCCGGGGGGGUGGAGAAGGCUUUCGGAUUGUAAAGCCCUUUAAGUUGGGAGAAAGGGAAGGAAGUUAAAACCUGGCUGUUUUGACGUUACCAACAAAAAAAGCACCGGCUAACUUCGU